RNAcentral lists this long non-coding RNA (16623 nucleotides) under Aquilegia coerulea. RNAcentral describes it as "long non-coding RNA (ACOE_LNC002225)". Lineage: Eukaryota; Viridiplantae; Streptophyta; Magnoliopsida; Ranunculales; Ranunculaceae. The record is from RNAcentral.
ACAAACUCACAAUGUUUUGAAAGACAACAUUACAGAGUAGGCAUAAAGAAAACUGGACGAGAAAACUUAGACAAUUGAUGAUCAUCAAAAUAAAAAGGCUCUACAAUAUGAUUCUUGAUAUCAUAGAUUCCCAUGUCGCAGAAGCCUUUUUCAUAAAAGUCGGAUUGGUCGUCAGUGAAGUAGAUGCAGUUCCCCUUUUAUUCUGGGUAGUCAGAGGUUGAGAUGGCAUAAGAAGUAUUAUUCCCUAGAAACAAAGCAUGGUCACUCAAAUCUUCUACCUCCGCCCACGUCUUUGAAUGAAAAUCAAACUUGUAUACCACAAAAUAUGUUGUUUCAUUGUGGUAGUCGUAUGCAGGUGUAUCGUCAAUACCAUUGAAAGCUCGUUCAACCAUGCAAAGAUCCCCAGACAAUUCGACGAGAUAAAAUUUGCUACAAACAUAUAUAUUAUCUGGGGAUGAUGCAAAAUCUUUUGCUUUAGGCUGAGGUGUGUUGACCUCACAAAUCCUUAGCAUUCCUUCAGUAGUAACACCAUAAAACUGACCAUUGAAGAAUAUGACGUCUUGGUAGUUUAACUCAGAACAUUCCACAGAUGUCCAAGCUUCAUCUCCAGGAGAAGCAACAGCAAGAUAGCAGAGUUCUCCAUAUACAGCCCUAACCAAUGGGCAUUGUCCAGACUCGAAAGUAAAUGGAUCAGAUGAAAGAGCAAAUCUUUUAAGACACGUCUGACAAAGUUCUUCAGGCGUACUAUGACCUCUAUAUUGGUGUUCAAACAUAGGUUGUGAAGGUAGAGAUAUUUGAACACGGGAUAAUGGAUGUAAAAGAUGGAUAUUAAGGUCAAGACCAAAGGUGAGCAGGUGUCAGUUGGGCUCAACUGGUAAAACCUCUGGGUGAUGAUACCAGAGGUCUGGGGUUCGAAUCCCGCCAGCAUUACGAGUUACUGAUCUCAUUAAAAACAGGCUUACCACAACAUUUUUGCGAAUGAGCCUGUGGCUGAAUGGUAGCACCCCUCUCACAAAGUGGAGAGGUCGUGGGUUCGAAACACGUCAACAGCGGAUUGUUGAUAUAAGUUUCCACACGUAAUUUAAAAGGGGUAGGGGUCCCCACAACCUCGCUUACCAACCAAAAAAAAAAAGCAACCAACCAUAUGGAGUUCCCCAACAUCUUGUUCUAUUAGCUUGAGGCAAAUAAUAAUUGAAAAGCCUUUUGGUAGAAUGACAAUAAAAGGAACGAAUUGAUCCUUUCUUAAACUGUUUGUCGUUUUUAGUUUUAGCUAACAUUAGCCAAGGAGCACAAGGGAUGAUACAACCCUUUAGUUUUUUCACAACAAAAUGCCAUGACUUGCAAACGCAACUAAAUCGCGCAAAUUCAUUAGGAUAAGGUGGUAGUCGUUUGAAAACAAGAUCAAUGUUUCUUCGGGCAAUUCAGACCAAUUUGCCAUAAUACAAUAGUAGUUGUACAAGAAGAGAACAACUUUUCAGAAUUUCUUCUAACAAUUCUCUAGGUAACAACAAAUAUGGUGAUGGGGUUGGUAUUAGAAUACUCAAAUUCCUCUAGCUAGUGAGUCCUAAUAUUUUCAGAAAUCCAAAUUAUAAAAUGUUUAACAAAAAAAAAAAGGCAAUUUCUAUUUUCUAAAGUUAAAAACUUAAAACAACUUACCAUGAACAAGCACUAGCAGAAGCAGAAGCAGAACAACAACAACAGCAGAACAAAGAGAAGCCCUCAAGUCUUAAACCAAAAUAGAAAGAGACAGGCAGAUGAUGAUCUAGGGUUCAGUUGGAAAUAAUAUCAGAAACCCAUCCAAUCACCAGAUUUAAGAAAUCCUUCAAACUCUUGAUUGGAACUUGGAAGAUUGAAGGUAGAGGUAACAAAAAACUCCAAGCUCACUGGUAUUAGAAUUCUCAAAUUCCUCUAGCUAGUGAAUCCUAAUGCUUUCAAGAAUCCAAAUUUUAAAACGUUUAACAAGGCAAUUUCUAAAGUUAAAUCUUUAGCUUACCUUUGAAGACGCACUAGCUUAGCAGAACAGCAAGAAGAGAAAUCAUUGAAGAAAAUCCCCAAAUCUAUCAAACUCUUGAUUGAAGACUGAAGAGUGUGAGAAAGGGAUUAAAAACUCCAAGCUCACUGAUUUGAUUUGGACCUUUGGCAAAAGUAAAAGUAGUUUGAGAGUUUUCUUAUAUUUAAAAAAUGGUCCCUAUAUCUUCACUUUAUCAAUAAAACCCCAAACUUCAAACCAAAUAAAAAUUGGGUACAUAUUUCCUGUACAACUUCAAGUCUUCAACCAAAUAAGAAUUAUAUUGAAUCUUAGGUAGUGGGUUGAACUGCGUAUAUGUGUGUUGAGACUUGGGAGAUCACUUAACUUCCAAAUAAUAACACAAUCAGGUAAGAAUUGCAUGAUGCAUUGAUACUGUCGGAAAUUUGCAGCUAGCUGCAAGGUUUCGAGAGAACUUGGCUAUGUGAAUGCAUUUUGGUUGAUGGACGUUUUGUCGAGGCGACCCCAGUUUAUGCAGAUCCACUGGUUUUGGGAUAGACAAGGGUGGUAAUGUGGUAUGCAUUUUAUAAUUUGCAUAAUAGAAAAAAUAAAAAAAAUAAAAAAAAAACCUCUCGCUCGAAAAUGACCCCUGUUUAAUGACUUCACAGAGAUUCAGGUUUGACAGAGGCCACUUCUACUUGAUAUUUCAUCAGUCUUGACUGUAAUGAAUAUUAGUGUAUCUAAAUAAAACAUCUGCAUACAAUAUUUUGGGAACUUAAACAUAGUUAUCAGGCUAUGUUUUCAUAAAAAAAAAGGGCUUACAUUAGAGCACUUAUUACACAGAGUUGUGCAAAAUCAUUGGAAGCUUAUCUGAGUUCUAAACUUACAAUGUAUUCACUUUAUCUAACCUACUUUUCUUCUGAUACAUAUAUUCAAAUGUAGGCAUUUUCGUUAACGUAGCUUAAAUGUCUUAAGAGGUAAUUAUCAUCCACAAAUCAAAUCUCAAUAGAUUAAGAAGACUAGUAGAGGCUGUGAAUAUAACAAGUAAACACACUCCGACCUUCUGUCAAUGGUAACACCAAAACCAAAUUUCUGAUCAGCAAAGUCAAAUUAAAGUUGGAUACUAUGUAGGCCUUAAUUGCCUCCGAGCUAAAAGUUGCUGCAGAGCCACAGAAGAUCAAUUUAGCAGAAGCAGACUGCACCCACUGCCACUGGCAUGUUCCAAAUGCAACAGGAGUUAAUAGAUAAACAAAGUGCUUCGAGAACCAGAUGCUCAUGGACUCAUGGUUUGUGAGAAGAGGUUUAUCAGUAAGAGUCAUCUCCAUGAUAAAUAACAUUGUUUUCAAUGAAAAUAAAAUCUUGUUUGGCCAAUUAUAUAGUGUUGAAAGGAGCAGGCAAUUUGAAGUUCACAACUGAAUUACUUGAGCCCAUUAAAGUUCACAAAGUCAAUUGCGAACAAACUCAGCAGCAAGGUGCUGAGGCUAUUUUACUUCCGUCAUUUUGCAUCUUAGUGUGAUGAUCUGAUCUUGCAAUCUGCCUUUUCUGCGUACCUUGACAGGGAAGAAUGGACUAAGACAAAAAAAAAAAAAAAUCUACAUGACACACUUGAUUUUUAAGGAUCAACCAGCCACAAGUACAAAAUAAUCUCAAGAUGACAGUAAAACCACAUCAACCAGAUCUACACAGAAAUCAAAAUCUCUUAAACCAGAUAUGAGGGAAUCAAAUAGAUGGAUCAAACAAUCAAGUACAUUAAACCAAAUAGAAUGCAAACAAAUCAAACCAAAUUAUAACUCACUCACGGCUGGCUUUCAAAUCAUUUGACCAAGAAAAAGUUGUACAAUUGCUUAACUACGGAAAUAAUAAAAUUAAUUUAAAUGCCAUACAUUGACACAAUGAUGUAAAAGAUAUUGUAUCAUUACAGAGUAGGCAUAAAGAAAACCGGGCGAGAAAACGUAGAAAGUUGAUGAUCAUCAAAAUUAAAAGGCUCUAUCGUGUUAUUCUCGAUAUCAUAGAUUCCCAUGUCGCAGAAGCCAUGAGGAUAAAAGUCAGAAUGGUCGUCAGUGAAGUAGAUGCAAUUCUCUUUAAAUUCUGGGUAGUCCGAAGUUGAGAUGGCAAAAGAAGUAUUAUUCCCUAGAAACAAAGCAUGGUCACCCAAAUCUUCUACCUCAGUCCACGCCUUUGAACGAAAAUCAAACCUGUACACCACAAAAUAUGUUGUUUCGUUGUGGCAGGGUAUUGUAGGUAGAUCAUCGGUGGUAUCGAAAGCUCGUUCCACCAUGUAAAGAUCCCCAGACAAUUCGACGAGAUAAAAUCUGCUACAAAUAUAAACAUUGUCUGGGGGUGAUGCAAAAUCUGUUGCUUUAGGCUGCCGUGUGUUGACCUCAAUAAUUCUUAACAUUCCAUCACAAGAAAUAGCAUAAAAGUGGCCAUUGAAGAAUAUGAUGUCUUGGUAGUUUGACCUAGAACAAUCCACGGAUGUCCAAACUUCAUCUCCAGGAGAAGCAACAGCAAGAUAGCGUAUUUCUCCAUAUAUAGCCAUAACCAAAGGGCAUUGUCCAGACUCAGGGAUAGAUGGAUCAGAUGAAAGAGCAAAUUUUGUAAAGUAACUCUGACAAAGGUGUUCAGGACAAUACGCAUCGAAUUGGUGUUGGUGUUCAAACGUGGGCUGUGAUGGAAGAGAUAUUUGAACACGGGAUAAUGGAUGUAAAAGAUGGAUUUUAAGGUCAAGACCAAAGGUGAGCAACCAACCAUAUGGAGUUCCCCAACAUCUUGUUCGUUUAGCUUGAGGCAAAUAAUAAUUGAAAAGUCUUUUGGUAGAAUGACAAUAAAAAGAACGAAUUGCUCCUUUCUUAAACUGUUUGUCGUUUUUACUUCUAGCUAGCAUUAGCCAAGGAGCAAAACGGAUAAUAUUACUCUUUUGUUUUUUAACAACAGAAUUCCAUGACUUGCAAACACAACUAAAUCUCGCAAAUUCAUUAGGAUAAGGUGGCAGUCGUUUGGCAACAAGAUCAAUGAUUUCUUCUGGCAAUUCAGACCAAUUUGCCAUAAUAUUAUUAUAUUAGAGCAACCGUUUUUCUGAAUUCACAACUUUUCUGAAUUUUCAGAUUAAAUCUCCAUCUAAGAAAUCAGUAGUCCUAUAUUUAUAGUAAAAACUGCAAUAGGAUUUCUUUUCCAAUUAAGGUUCGAAAAUUCAGACAGAGUACCCCUAGUACUAAUUGUUGUUUCAGAAGUCAGCACCUUCAAGGCAAUUUCGUUUUAGCUAAAGUUAAGAAACUUACCUUUUAACAACAACAGCAAAACAGAAAGAGUUACCAGACCUUGAAUUAGAAACUAGAACAGAGAACAGCCGCUUCAGAUCUUUAAGCCAAAAAAGAGAGAGACAGUGCAGAUCUAGGGUUAAUCAACAACAUAAGAUACGAUGAUGAUGAUGAUGAUGAUAUAAGCAACCUGUUGCCCAAGUACAACUGCUUUUAAUUCUGUUUGGUUGGGUAAAGUUGUCAAACACUUCAACAUACAUACUAAUAAAGUGAGUUUUGUUUUUUUCUUAAUAUUAUUUUAAGAAACACUAAAGUUUGGUACCGAAGGAAGUAUUCAAGCAAUUGCUCUUUUAAUUAAUCAAGGUGUUGUUGACAAUAUACUCCAACAUGAUUUUUUUGGGUAGAUUUUGAUACAUGCAUACAUAUACCUACAUACAAUGUUGCAAACAAACUCAGCAACAAGGUGCAGCGUUUUACCUUGAAAUUUGCAUGUCAGUGUGCUCAUAUAAUCUUAGAAUUCGCAUUUUCCGCAUACGUUUUCAAUUUGGACAAGAAAAAAAUUGAUACAAUUUAUGAAGCAAUCAACCAUAAGUACAACAGAAUCUCAACGAAUCAGGAAAACGCCAUUAACCAGAACUACAAUGAUAUAAAAAGAAAAAUCUCUUAAUUAAACUAGCUAAAUAUGAAGAAAUCAAACAAAAAGAUGAAACCAUGAAAUUUUAAACUAAACAAAGGGAACCCAAUAUAACCAACUCAGGAUUGACUUUCAAAUCAUUCGACCAAGAUAAAGUUUGACAACUUCAUAACGAAAUAAUAACAAUAAUUUAAAUGUUAUACAUUGACACAUUGAUUUGAAAGACAACAUUACAGAGUAGGCAUAAAGAAAAUUGGGCGAGAAAACUUAGAAAGUUGAUGAUCAUCAAAAUAAAAAGGCUCUAUCCUAUUAUUCUUGAUAUCAUAGAUUCCCAUGUCGCAGAAGCCGCGUUGAUAAGAGUUAGAAUGGUCGUCAGUGAAGUAGAUGCAAUUCUCUUUAAAUUCUGGGUAGUCAGAAGUUGAGAUGGCAAAAGAAGUAUUAUUCCCUAGAAACAAAGCAUGGUCACCCAAAUCUUCUACCUCAGCCCAUGUCUUUGAAUUAAAAUAAAACUUGUACACCACAAAAUAUGUUGUUUCGUUGUGGAAGGCUAACGUAGGUACAUCAUCUACAGGAUCGAAAGCUCGUUCAACCAUGCAAAGAUCCCCAGUCAAUUCAACGAGAUAAAAUGUGCUACAGACAUAUAUAUUAUCUGGAGGUGAUGCAAAAUCUGUUGCUUUAGGCUGCCGUGUGUUGACCUCAAUAAUUCUUAACAUUCCAUCACAAGAAAUAGCAUAAAAGUGGCCAUUGAAGAAUAUGAUGUCUUGGUAGUUUGACCUAGAACAAUCCACGGAUGUCCAAACUUCAUCUCCAGGAGAAGCAACAGCAAGAUAGCAUAUUUCUCCAUAUAUAGCCAUAACCAAAGGGCAUUGUCCAGACUCAGGGAUAGAUGGAUCAGAUGAAAGAGCAAAUUUUAUAAAGUAACUCUGACAAAGGUGUUCAGGACAAUACGCAUCGAAUUGGUGUUGGUGUUCAAACGUGGGCUGUGAUGGAAGAGAUAUUUGAACACGGGAUAAUGGAUGUAAAGGAUGGAUUUUAAGGUCAAGACCAAAGGUGAGCAACCAACCAUAUGGAGUUCCCCAACAUCUUGUUCGUUUAGCUUGAGGCAAAUAAUAAUUGAAAAGUCUUUUGGUAGAAUGACAAUAAAAAGAACGAAUUGCUCCUUUCUUAAACUGUUUGUCGUUUUUACUUCUAGCUAGCAUUAGCCAAGGAGCAAAACGGAUAAUAUUACUCUUUUGUUUUUUAACAACAGAAUUCCAUGACUUGCAAACACAACUAAAUCUCGCAAAUUCAUUAGGAUAAGGUGGCAGUCGUUUGGCAACAAGAUCAAUGAUUUCUUCUGGGAAUAAUUAGACUUGUUCUUCUUCUAAUCCUAAUCGUAUGAGAAAUUCCAAGUUGAUGAAUUUACCUUGAAAAGGCAGAACAACGCGUGAACAACAGCACAAGAGAAAGAGCUGCUAAUGAACAGGCAGAUCGAUCUAGGGUAUAAAGAUUGAAGAAGAGUGACUGUGGGAAAAGCUCAAAAAAACCUUGAAGAUUUGGACCCUUGGCAAAAAUAAAGUAAAACUGGUCCCUAUUAGUACUAUUUCCUAAACAAGUCCCUUAAUGAAACAACAAUUGCUCUAAGGAAGUUGUAAAGAAUUUGCAAGUAUUGAUCAUUGUAAGUUUGUAACACGUUGCACCACGUACACUAUGUUUUUCAAGGUCCCUAUUAAUUAAUGUAGUACGUUGCAAUUGGAUUGUUCGUGCACAACAUGGUAAAUCAACAAUGGAGCUGUUCUGAAGAAGCAUGACAGCGUGCAGAACGUUUCACACAAUGGGAGACCAUAUUAAGUGAGCAGGAUUCUACUAGCGGCCAGGGGUGUUAUGUCAGUAUGCAGCUGCUAUGUGGAGGCAGUGUUCUAUGAAACCGGCACAAAGUGGUUUGACAUCAAUUUUGUGACAAAGUGUCCAUGGUUAUCUCACCUUGAGUUCAUUGUUAGGAAAACCAAGUUGUACGCACAUCGUCCCGAGUUUGUGUUCUCAUGUCCUUGUGUCAAACUCGAGUUUUGGGUUCAGGACGUACGUACCUCUUAAGGACGUUCGUACGUCCAAGUAGGCAGCAGACGUGUUUUGGUCAGGACGUACGUACCGAGUUAGAACGUUCGUACGUCCAUGUAGUCAGCAAGUUCGGAUCGUGUAUACGACGUACGAACGUCAUAUCGACGUACGUACGUCCAAAGUCGGUUUACACUAUUUCGGCCCAUUUUCCUUGAUUUCCAACCCUAGGUAUAAAUAGGGUUUCUCUUCCAAACAACAAGAUAGUUCUUUGGCCGUCCAUUAUCCUUCUAGUGGUGGAGUUUUGGUUUAGGUUUUGGUGUUGAAAGUGUUUGUGGCUAUUGAACUCAAUUCCCUUCCUUCCUCCUUCUCUCAAUUCAUAACUUUGUGAACUUCCAAGUAUCAUAGUGAUUUAGCUUCGAGUCUUCUUGUGUGUUCAUCAAGAAGUCGAGUAUCCUUGUGUGUUCAUCAAGGAACUCUGGUGUAAGCUUGUUUCAUAGUUCGGCUUCGAGUCUUCUUGUGUGUUCAUCAAGAAGUCGAGUGUCUUGUGUGUACAUCAAGGUGCUCUGGUGAAGUCAAGGUGUUAGAGAUAACCAGGAGUAUCAACUCGCAGUGAGUGCAGGUAAUUGGUAGGUUUGUACAUCUCUUUUCAUAUAGUGGAUUAUUUGUUGUCGCGAGGACAACCGUGGACGUUUCCCAUAUUGGGUUUUACCACGUUAAAAAUAUCGUGUGUUCUUUAUUUGUUUAUUGCUUUAUUGUUUGCUUUACUAUUGUUAUAUUGUACAUAUAUUGGGUUCUCAAUUGGUAUCAGGAGCAGGGCGCUUGUUAAGGAGCGUAAAGGCUCACGCGUAGAUCCUUAGUGCAAUUUUAAUGGAUUCUGAUAAAUUUGGAACACUAAUUUGUCCUCCUAAAUUUGAUGGAACUAAUUUUCCCUAUUGGAAAGUUCGUAUGGCUGCUUAUUUGCAGGCUAUGAGUGAGGAUGUGUGGAUCGCUGUGGAAGAUGGUUGGUCACCACCGAGAGUUACUACAGGUAGUACAGAUGAGGUUGUUACAAGUGUAAAGCCACGAAACACAUGGAGUGUGAAAGACAAAGUUGCUUCUACUAACAACCAAAAAGGGCUUAAUGCUAUAUUUAUGGCUUUGGAUGCUAGUGAAUUUCGGAGAGUUCAUGGUUGUAUAACAUCCAAAGAGGCUUGGGAUAGGUUGGUAAGAACUCAUGAGGGUGACAAUGCUGUCAAAGAGAGUAAGCUUGAACUUCUUAUUACUCAAUUUGAAACUAUGAAAAUGGAUAAUAAUGAAUCUUUUGAUGAAUUCUUUAUUCGUUUGCAGGAUAUUAUCAACACUAGUGCAUCUUUAGGUUUAGUGUACACCGAUACUCAAAUAGUUCGUAAAGUUCUUCGGUCUUUGCCAUCUAGAUUCCGUUCUAGGAAAGAUGCCAUUCAAGAAAGCAAUGACUUAAAGACCAUGUCCAUAGAGACCUUAGCAGGAAAAUUGAGAACUUAUGAACUUGAGGUUCAACUUGAACAACCUCAAAAUAAAUCCUUUGCUUUUAAAGCUGGAACUUUUGAGGAUGUACAAGAUGAAGGAAUUAAUCAUGAUAAGUCUCUUGACACUAAGCAACAUCUAAGUAUCAUUUAUCGUUAUCUUAAACAUAUUUUUAAGACUAUGAAAUAUAAUGGUUUGACUAACCAUGGUUUUGACGAGUGUAAGCUUCCCAAGAAAUUUGGUGCACAAGGGAUAGAACAACAAAAAAUCAAGUUAUCUACCACUUGGGAGGAAGAUGAAAGCGAUGAUGAUGAUGAUGUUGAUGUAGCGGAAGACCAUGCUACACAUUGUGUUGCCUAUGGAGCAUCUUUGAAUGAGAAUGUGGAUUGUCAGGUAACCGAUAUUGUCGAUCAUGAAUUCGAUGAUUCUAUUUUGGUAAGUCCUGGUGAGUUAAGGGAAUUACACAUGUCAUCUGUUAAACAAUGUCAAUCCUUGCGUAAGACUAAUCAGAUUUUAAAUGAUAUGGUUGAGUCUCUUGUGAAAGAGAAAUCUGUACUUGCAGGUGAUAUGAAUGCCUUAUCUGAGGAGUUUUCCCAAGAAAAGCUAGAUUUCCAAUCUAGAAUUAUUUCUUUGGAAAUAUCCAAUCGUGAGAUAGAAGAUAAGUAUCGUUCUUUGUUGCUUGAGCAUGAAGCUGUGAAAAAGGAUUUAUUCGCUUCUACUAAGCGAUUGCAAGGGUUUGAGAAAGCUUCAGUUGAUCUAGACACCCUUAUUAAAAGUGGAAAGUCUUCUUCAGAUAAGACUGGUUUAGGAUAUGACUAUGUCGGAGCUUCCUCCAGUUGUGUCCCUCCUACUACUUCUUUUGUGAGGCCAUCAUUGCCUCAUUUGUUACCAAAUCCUCAUAUUCCUACUCCGUCUGCACCUACCAAGGCUUUUGAAUCUAAGCCAAAUGUGAUGACCAAGAACAAGACAAGUCCUAAACAUAGACAUUUUAAGUGUUUUACUUGUGGUCGGUUAGGUCAUACUUCCGCUUUCUGUUGGGAUAACAAUUCCAUGGUUCCAUAUUCUUCUUCUUAUGGUAAUAAUUAUUGGAACUCACAUUGUUCUUUUCCUGUACAUGCUCAUCAUUUCUCUUGGCCUCCUUUUAUGAGAAGAAGUGGCCCUAAAAAACCACAACACUUCAACAAUAGAAAGAAGGUUGUGCAAAAGGUCACCAAACCACCUCACAUAUGGGAUAGAAGCAUCGAUGCUGCCAAAUGUAGUCUAGAGAAUGAGAGGUUAAAGAUUGGAAAGUCUACUAUCAGGGAUAAUAUUCAAAAAUCCUCCAUAUCCGGGUCCAACUUGCAGAAUAUCUCUCAAGUAUGGGUACGAAAGGAUGACUUGAACGUUCUGUUUUGACUUCUUAAAGUCAGAUUGAAUAUCAUCUUCGUAUUUUUAUUUUUAUUUGUUUGUUUUCUAGCCUUGUGUUAUUUUAAUUGCAUAUUUUUCUAACCAUAUAGGCUAUUUGUUUGGUGUGUUUUGUCUUUUUGUUUAUGCAUGUUUUGUUUGUUUGGGUUGAAUAUCAUAAAAAAAAAAAAAAAAAUAGUUUACUUUGUUAUGGGUGUUUGGGAUACACAUACUUUGUAUAUGUGGUUAGAUUGGUCUAUUGCUUUCAAUCAUACUUGUAUGCUUAGUGCUCAUGAAUAUAACUAUUUUAUUACACUUAGCAUACGCUUGUGCUUUCAUGUUUAGAUUUUAGACCAACGUUUAUCUAGUUGUGUCUCAUGCAUAUAUCCUUGCUUGAUUACACUAUGCACAGCUAGGUGGCACUUUGAGAGUUUGUUUGCAUAUCUUUUUCCAUCCUUUGAACAUGAUAAACUUCUGGGAUAAUCAUUAGUUGGAAAUAUACGUAUGCAUGCCUUCUUAUGUUAUCUUGAUUAUUAGUAUGAAGGCGGUGUGGUAGUGGUCAACAAUUCACAAAAUCCCCAGCCUUUUGAUCUUCUUGAGAAAGAAAUCAUUUGGUAUACAUACCCGUUGGGGCCGUGAGGGUCAUGCAAUGACGGAUGCACUCAAGAGAUGUUAGUUCUUGUGUUGCACGUUACCAUGAUGUUGCACUACUUUGAAAAGGGGAAGUAAUUUGAAAAGAUGUAGGCUACACCCUAUCACAUGUUGCAAAAGAUGAAGGUAAAAAUCCCUUUCACAUGUUAAUUUAUGCACAGUAAAAAAAAAAAAAAAAAAAAAACAGGUUAUAAGUGCAUUUCCCUGUGUCUGUUUAGGCGUUUGUGAAGUGAAAUUCUUCUAAUGGUGAAUACUAGUUGUUUUGAGUGUUCUUAUGGUUUGUGAGUGAGGUGUGGAAAUAACUCUCUUUGUGUUUUCUUUAGCUUUCCCACACACCAAGGAUGUUUGUAUGAUGCAUUUCUAGUAGAUGUUUGGUUUCAUAUCUUAAUCUUUGAUUGGUGCGUACUUUGUUUAAUGAAACCAAGUUUAUUCAUCUUUACUAAGUAUCUUGUUUUAAUUGAGCUUGCAUAUACUCUCUUCUACCCUUGUAUGCAUGGUUCUUUGUGUGUUUCAAAUAUCCUUAUUUUGUUUGUUUUUCUAGGUGCAUCUUUCUCAUAUGCAAUGCAUUUGGGUGGAGCUUUUGUUUAGGGGGAGAAUUCUUUGUAUUGACAUCGUGUUAACAAGUGUUUAUUUUAUGGCUUCCGUUGCAUAUCCUUUUUGUUGUUAACAUGAUUGUUCUCUUUCUUUUCUUCUUUAAUCUUAUUUGUUAUGGUUUGGUAUUUUUCUUCUCUUUCUUUUGUUACCUUGCUUCAUUUGUGACAAAAAGGGGGAGAUUUAUGACUCUAAUACUAACACCUUCUUCUUCUGUGUUAGUGUAUUUUUGGGUCAUGUUGCAGGUAUGCUACACGUAUGGGGGAGUGAACGUGUUGAUGUUUAGAGGUUGUACAGUUAUGGGGGAGCUCGAGUGUCAAACUUUGGAGCUCAUGAAGUAUGGGGGAGUUGCUCGAGGAACUUCCGUUGGCUCUUUGAUUGUUUCAGAAUUUUUUGUUGCUUCCGUUCGAUCUCUGAUAAUCAAACUGUCGGUGUUAGCUGGAUGUCACGAAUUGGUGACUUGGUAUGUGUUCUACCUUGAGUGAUUCUGUAGGCAUGUUUUAUAAAUGCCAUGGUUUGGGUUUGUAAGCACGUUUUAUAAGUGCUAUUAGAGUCAUAGGUUUUUGUCACAAAAUCAAUGUCAAAGGGGGAGAUUGAAACCGGCACAAAGUGGUUUGACAUCAAUUUUGUGACAAAGUGUCCAUGGUUAUCUCACCUUGAGUUCAUUGUUAGGAAAACCAAGUUGUACGCACAUCGUCCCGAGUUUGUGUUCUCAUGUCCUUGUGUCAAACUCGAGUUUUGGGUUCAGGACGUACGUACCUCUUAAGGAUGUUUGUACGUCCAAGUAGGCAGCAGACGUGUUUUGGUCAGGACGUACGUACCGAGUUAGAACGUUCGUACGUCCAUGUAGUCAGCAAGUUCGGAUCGUGUAUACGACGUACGAACGUCAUAUCGACGUACGUACGUCCAAAGUCGGUUUACACUAUUUCGGCCCAUUUUCCUUGAUUUCCAACCCUAGGUAUAAAUAGGGUUUCUCUUCCAAACAACAAGGUAGUUCUUUGGCCGUCCAUUAUCCUUCUAGUGGUGGAGUUUUGGUUUAGGUUUUGGUGUUGAAAGUGUUUGUGGCUAUUGAACUCAAUUCCCUUCCUUCCUCCUUCUCUCAAUUCAUAACUUUGUGAACUUCCAAGUAUCAUAGUGAUUUAGCUUCGAGUCUUCUUGUGUGUUCAUCAAGAAGUCGAGUAUCCUUGUGUGUUCAUGAAGGAACUCUGGUGUAAGCUUGUUUCAUAGUUCGGCUUCGAGUCUUCUUGUGUGUUCAUCAAGAAGUCGAGUGUCUUGUGUGUACAUCAAGGUGCUCUGGUGAAGUCAAGGUGUUAGAGAUAACCAGGAGUAUCAACUCGCAGUGAGUGCAGGUAGUUGGUAGGUUUGUACAUCUCUUUUCAUAUAGUGGAUUAUUUGUUGUCGCGAGGACAACCGUGGACGUUUCCCAUAUUGGGUUUUACCACGUUAAAAAUAUCGUGUGUUCUUUAUUUGUUUAUUGCUUUAUUGUUUGCUUUACUAUUGUUAUAUUGCACAUAUAUUGGGUUCUCAUUCUAUUGUGGAUUGCAGUGCCCUGAUGUUCAUUUUUUAAGUGAUGGCGGACUUGAGAAAACUACUCAAUCACAAACGAGAAAUCUAGCUACAAUGAGAUACUAUUUAUGUGAUAUCGUGGAAAGCAUUGAUAUUAUCUCAAAUUCAAUUAAAGAAAGUUGGUUACCAUAUAUGUAAUGUAGGCCUUAAUUGCUAUGGCACAAAGCAAAAAGUUGUUACAAGCCACAAAAGAUCAAUUUAGCAGAGUACAACCACUGGCAAUAAGUUCCAAAUGUAAUGGGACUUGAUAGAUAAACACAGUACUAGGACUUCAAAGAAAAGUGAGAACCAGAUGCUCAUGGUUUGUGGGAAGAACUUGGCAGAUGCUGGCAUUUAUCAGUAAAAACCAUCCCAUCCCACCAUUAGUUUUUUCCACAAAACAAACUCUUCUAUUAACUUAAGUAAAAGAGUCCAUACAAAACAACUGCCUUACAACUUCAGUAGAUCAUGAACUCCUUUUGUUGCACAAGCGUCAGCCCCAAAGUUCACUUCUCCUGUUGUAAGAUAAAACAAUACUAUGUAGUUUCUCUAUACAUUUCUCCCAUUCAUGUUGGACUAUCUGAUGUACCUGAUUAGUUUGAAAUCCUCUAAUGACUGCCUCAGAGUCUCCUUCUACCCAAAUGCACUUCCAGCCUUUUUCUAAAGCUUUCUUAACCCCAUUCAUGAUUGCAUUUGUUUCAGCUAUGUAGUUAGUUGCAACUCCCAAGGCCUCCUAUAUAUACACCAAGCAAGUUACCUUCUUCAUUUCUGUAUAUUACUCCCCAUCCAGCUCUCCCUGGAUUACCUUUACAGGCUCCAUCUACAUUUACUUCUACAUAUCCUUUCGAAGGAAGGGACCCGUAGCAUUCUACGACAUUAACACUAACUUCUUGACGAGACUGAAGACUUUGAAAAAAUGAAAUAACGCAUUGAUUGUCACUGCACACGACCAAAUGUUUGACAACUGUAUGUUUUAAUCCUUCACUAAUUGCAAGAACUUCUGCUCCUUCGGCAUUUGAUGCUUGAGCUGGACUGCUUCCUGCAAGGAAAGAUGUAUAAGACCAACAGCUUAGAGUAAAUCCAAUUCCUGAUUUUGGGGUGUCAGCAGAGUAUGAUCCUAUUUGUUGUGUGAUUGUGAAGAUAUAGGAUUGGGCAGAGGUUUGUGUAAUAUGGAUUGCCAAGCUAGAAAUAAAACUGUGUUUAGCAUUGUGGAGAAACCGUAUUAUGAAAAGUUGAAAACAAACAUGGUUUCUAUUAAACUAGAAGAAGUAAGCUAUCCAUGCAAUGCUAAUGAGGGUCUCUUUGAACUCUUGUUUACUAUAAGUGGUGAAUAAAGUCCACACAAAGGUUUUGAAUUGAAAUUCAUUUUGAAAACACAGAGCCAGAGAGGAUGCAAACCAGAUGCCACUAAUGUGAGGACACGUGAAUAAAGCCUGCUCUAAAGAUUGAUCAUGCAGACCACAUCUUGGACACAAUGGGGACAAACCAAUGAUUUUAUUAAAGAGAUGCAGAUUUGUAUGCAAAGCAUUACCCAAAAAAUUUCCAUAAGGGGCUAGGAUUAUGCAUACCUGGUUACAAAUUGUGUUGGUCUUUUACAAUGUUGAAAGAAGCAGGCAAUUUGAAGUUUACAGCCGAAUUUCUUGAGCCCAUAUGUUUUCAGUACGACAGGGAGGACUGGACUAGGAAAAAAAAUGCUACAAGCCUACAAUUGAUGAAGCAACCUACACACUUGAUUUUGAGGUCAUCCACAAGUACAAAAGAAUCUCAUGGAAACGGCAAAACAACAUUAACCAGAACUACAUUGAUAAGAUCAGAAGUUCUUAUACUAAAUAUAAAGAAAUCAUAUAGAUAGAUGGAACAAUGGAAGUACCAAAUAGCAUGCAAACAAAUUGAACAAAAUACAGUAUAAUUAACUCACAAUUGACUUUCAAAUAAUUUAACCAAGAAAAAGUUCAACAACUCCAUAAUUAUGGAAAUAAUAACAACAAUUUAAAUGUUAUACAUUGACACAAUGAUGUGAAAGACAACAUUACAGAGUAGGCAUAAAGAAAACUGGGCGAGAAAACUUAGAAAGUUGAUGAUCAACAAAAUAAAAAGGCUCUACCAUAUCAUGCUUGAUAUCAUAGAUUCCCAUGUCGCAGAACUUUUUUUCAUAAAAGUCAGAAUGGUCGUCAGUGAAGUAGAUGCAAUUUCCCCUGAAUUCUGGGUAAUCAGAAGUUGAGAUGGAAAAAGAAGUAUUAUUCCCUAGAAACAAAGCAUGGUCACCUAAAUCUUCUACCUCAGUCCACGUCUUUGAAUAAAAAUCAAACUUGUGCACCACAAAAUAUGUUGUUUCGUUGUGGUAGUCAUAAGCAGGUGUAUCAGCGUCAAUACCCUUGAAAGCUCGUUCAACCAUGCAAAGAUCCCCAGACAAUUCGACGAGAUAAAAUGUGCUACAAAGAUAUAUAUUAUCUGGGGGUGAUGCAAAAUCUUUUGCUUGAGGAUGACGUGUGUUGACCUCAAUAAUUCUUAGCAUUCCAUCACAAGAAAUAGCAUAAAAGUGGCCAUUGAAGAAUAUGAUGUCUUCGUAGUUUGACCUAGAACAUUCCACUGAUGUCCAAGCUUCAUCUCCAGGAGAAGCAACAGCAAGACGGCAGAUGUCUCCAUAUAUAGCCAUAACCAAAGAGCAGUGUCCAGACUCAUGGACAGAUGGAUCAGAUGCAAGAGCAAAUCUCAUAACAAAUGUCUGACAAUAAACUUCAGGCGUACAUGGCCCUUUCCAUUGGUGUUCAAACGUAGGCUGUGAAGGUAGAGAUAUUUGAACUCGGGUUAAUGGAUGUAAAAGAUGGAUAUCACGAUCAAGACCAAAGGUGAGCAACCAACCAUAUGGAGUUCCCCAACAUCUUGUUCUAUUAGCUUGAGGCAAAUAAUAAUUGAAAAGCCUUUUGGUAGAAUGACAAUAAAAAGAACGAAUUGAUCCUUUCUUAAACUGUUUGUCGUUUUUAGUUUUAGCUAGCAUUAGCCAAGGGGCACAAGGGAUGAUAUUACUCCUCUUAUGUUUCUUCACAACAAAAUUCCAUGACUUGCAAACACAACUG